Molecule: ribosomal RNA, 118 nt
Filed under: Scophthalmus maximus (turbot)
Lineage: Eukaryota; Metazoa; Chordata; Actinopteri; Pleuronectiformes; Scophthalmidae
Source: RNAcentral
GCUUACGGCCACACCGCCUGGUUCACGCCCGAUCUCGUUGAUCUCGGAAGCUAAGAUAGGGUGGGCCUGGUUAGUACUUGGAUGGGAGACCGCCUGGGAAUACCAGGUGUUGUAAGAU